UCGCUGGGAAGAUAUCAGUUCGAUAAUUUUCUUUUAUUGAGAGUAAGCUGUAAUAAAAAAUAACGACGUUUACGUAUAUCGUGCACAGCCGUGACAAAAUCUUUGGAGAAAAACAGAUAAAAUAGAUUCGUCACGCACCACCCCUCAUUCGUUAGCUUUAAACUAUUCUCAUUUCAAAACUAUUGCUCGGACGCAACUUCGUCGAAGGAAAAAGUUAUUUUCUCUGGCACGGAAAAUCGCACUGUGCAUUCUACGUGCGCGAAUUCUGUGACUCUCUGUGCACACAGUGCGUUCGAUAUCAAAUAUAUGUACAUGUAGUAUACAAAUGUAUUGUUACGUGUCUCGUAUAUAUCAUAUAUGUUAUAUAUAUGUAUAUAUAUGCAUAUAUAUAUACAUGGCUCGUUUAACCAUAUUCUAUUCGCAAUCUCGUGCGGUGCACGUUUACCUUGAUUAACCGAUUUGCCGUUGAUUGUUCGUCAGAUUCGUCAAAUUCGAAAACUCGAGUACGGUCGAUCGUGGCAAUCCCCCUAAAGUUCGAAGCGAUUACUAUUUGCAAGUACGGAAUCCCGUCGUGGAGGACGACGACGAUUGUCGAUUACAAUAUGGAAAAGUGUCGCGAUCACGUCGAUCGACCUUAUGGGGGCGCAUAAUCGCGCGAAUCAUGGAAAUUGCUGGAUCGGCUGCGACACAAUGGCGCGGGAAGCGACGAUGUACACAUUGAAAAAUCGUAUAUACACAUAUAGGUAUAACAUGUGUGUAUGUGUACGUGUGUGUUCUGUCGAACGAAUGCGCGAGUAAACGAGCGUGAAUGAAGGUAGAAUAUAAAACGCACGCGAGAAAGAACUCGUGAUCGUUUGCGGGAUCGAGAACGAUCCGCCGCACGUACAAACUAAUAAGCGCGAUUGCGCGUGUCGCUAUCACUAGAGCAUUCUUAUUUUUCUGCGUAUAAAUUUGUCCGCUGACGCAUGUCGCUUCCGCUUGCCUUUAUCAGUCCUUAAGCCAAUUAUGAACGGAUUAAUCGAUCGCGAUCAGUUAGAAGCGAAUUAGCUUAAAUAUUCAAAUUUUAUUCAGGUCGGGAUCCUAUACGUUUUAAAUGUCACAGAUAAAUAUUUUCCCAUUAAAUUAAUCAGAAAUUACAAAACGAACCUUCAAGACGAUAUCUCUGAUCAAACAACAAAAUCACUUCAUCAGUUCACAUUUAUUUCUCUAAAUCUUGCAUAUUUUGGUUGUCAGCAUCACGUGUUUCUUGCUUGGUCAACGUUACGUAAUCGUUUAAUAAAGAUAGAUUUCGCUUGUCAUUCACUACGUCAGCGCACCGUUCUCGCGAGAAUGAAAUUAAUCGACUGAGUCGUCGAACCGUGUCGGCUACACGAGGAAUUUAACACUAACAAGUUUGUAAUCGAGUGCGCAGUAAAUGCAGCGAGUAUCAAAUAUCGUUCGCGAUCGUCUACUUUGCUACGUAUCUCCGUCCGAGCUUGACUCAACUUCUCAAAAAUAGAAAUUUAGGGAUCGACGUUAAUUUGAACUCGAGACAUGCUGUCAGGAUCUCCUCAAACGUGUUAAAGCGGAAACGCCGGGGAUCACGUCGGCGGACAAACAUUCGAUUCUCAUCGUGGUAAGAUGAGAUUAGGUGCGAUUGUCAGAGCUGCUGCUGCUAUAUACGCCUGCCACGAACGUGAGUUCGCGUAGAAAGUUUCGGGUGGAAGGGAGCGCUUUCUCCUGCGAUUGGACGUUUAUUCCGGCCGCAGGAUGUUGAGGGAAUCUUCUCGCUGGGACGCGAGCAAGACCGAUAAAAUCUCGAUGAAAUUGACUGCAGUACUAGUACACGGAUUGUGCGCGACAUGGGCGUUUUGUUACGAGCUACUAUUGCGAGUCUGGUCCUUUCGCAAUUUUUUGACACUUUGUUGCAGUUUCCCUACACCGCUUGCAUCGUCGCCGUAACAUUCUUCAUUAAAGAUCUUCGCACUUUUAAUGAUUUCUGAUGACUUAUUGAUAUUAGGAAUAAUCGAAAUAUGUCGUGAUAUAUAAAAUAUGUACAACAAUCUUUGUUGUGUCGCGUGUAGAUUAAUUAAUAAUACACAAAUUGAAAUGUGCAAAAAUGUGAAAUAAAUGAAUUAAUAAGAAGAAUUCGUUAAUAAAGAGAGAGUUGGAGCUUCUUCCAAAGCUAAAGUCUAAUUUGGAAACAUUUCACGCCACUCAAUAAAAAGUUCUUAUAAUUGAUUUCGAAAUUAAUCAAACUGUUAAAAACGCGGAAUUUUUUAGAUCAAUCCUUCGGUAAAAAAAAAA
This is a long non-coding RNA of Vollenhovia emeryi, 2286 nucleotides long. RefSeq lists it as uncharacterized. Lineage: Eukaryota; Metazoa; Arthropoda; Insecta; Hymenoptera; Formicidae. The record is from RefSeq and is a predicted model, not a curated record. The transcript has 2 exons.